RNAcentral lists this ribosomal RNA (419 nucleotides) under uncultured prokaryote. Its description in RNAcentral is "partial 16S ribosomal RNA". The record is from RNAcentral.
CCCUAUGGGGUGCACCAGGAGAUCCGCCGGGUGCGCGUGGGCCAUAUUGUGCAGCUCCUGAUCGGCACGGACAUGAGCAUCACGGAAAUCGCCACUCACGGCGGGUUCGACGGUGUCGAGCAUAUUGCGAGGUACUUUCGGAAGGAGACGGGGAUGAGUCUCCGCGACUACCGAAAGCGACAUGCACCGAGAUAAGAAAGCAGGAAAUCCGAGAUGUGAAUUCCGAAACGAGCACGAAUGGCCCAAACCCAAAACUCAAGAAGGAUUGCCCUGUGCGGCGUCAGCGUUUCGGUCGUUUGAGUCUCGGUUCUUGGGGUUUGUUUCGAGUUUCGAAUUUGGGAUUUCUCCCUGAAGGAGGUUUUUGGGCAUGAGAAAAGCGACUGUUCUGGCGGCGGCGCUUGGGGUCCUGGCGGGAGGGC